This 392-nucleotide ribosomal RNA is filed under the name uncultured Chrysophyceae. Its description in RNAcentral is "partial small subunit ribosomal RNA". It matches the Rfam family "Eukaryotic small subunit ribosomal RNA", at positions 30 to 432 of the family's 1831-position model. Lineage: Eukaryota; Chrysophyceae. The record is from RNAcentral.
GCUUGUCUCAAAGAUUAAGCCAUGCACGUCUAAGUAUAAGCGAUUAUACUGUGAAACUGCGAAUGGCUCAUUAUAUCAGUUAUAGUUUAUUUGAUGGUUCUUGCUACUUGGAUAACCGUAGUAAUUCUAGAGCUAAUACAUGCAUCAAACCCCGACUUCUGGAAGGGGUGUAUUUAUUAGAUGGAAACCAAUGCGGGGCAACCCGGAUUCUGGUGAUUCAUAAUAACUUUCGGAUCGAUCUUCGGAUCGAUGCAUCAUUCAAGUUUCUGCCCUAUCAGCUUUGGAUGGUAGGGUAUUGGCCUACCAUGGCUUUAACGGGUAACGGAGAAUUAGGGUUCGAUUCCGGAGAGGGAGCCUGAGAAAUGGCUACCACAUCCAAGGAAGGCAGCAGG